This 558-nucleotide long non-coding RNA is filed under the name Malus domestica (apple). RNAcentral describes it as "long non-coding RNA (MDOM_LNC007543)". The record is from RNAcentral. Lineage: Eukaryota; Viridiplantae; Streptophyta; Magnoliopsida; Rosales; Rosaceae.
AAAAAUUAAUUAAUUAAAACACAACAAUGUCAAAAACCUACGUAUGAAACUCAAAAUAAUUUCAUUCCUUAGGCAAACUCAAUUCCUCUAUUGAUGUAAGUGAACCCAAAAAAUAUCUUCCCAUGUCCACUUUUUUUGAACACAGGACAAAUAGAAACUGCUGAUACACUGUUCAGCCAGGGAACGGACAGAAUAGUACCUAUAGGAUAACUAUAGCCUGUAAUUACAAGUAGAUCAGUUUCCUCAAAUAGUAUCUAUGUAUCAUUUUACCAUCACGUUUAUGAGCUACUAAACAUAAGGCUUGUUGUAUUCCAGACUGCAAUAGGCCAUAAAUUAUGCAACGAAAUGGGUGAAUAAUAUUUAAGGUCUUGUAUGUAUAGACCACGCAACUAAGAUAAAUAAAAUUACGUAUAUAGCUAAGUACACACAAACAUAAUCAUAGCUAAGUACACACAAACAUAAUCAGGUGAGGAUUAAAAGAAAUUCACAUGCGCUCCAGCGUUCCCCUGUUUACAAAGAAUCCAUCAUGUUUUAUGGCUGAAUUAUCAACUUCAAAAU